This 492-nucleotide ribosomal RNA is filed under the name uncultured bacterium. Its description in RNAcentral is "partial 16S ribosomal RNA". It matches the Rfam family "Bacterial small subunit ribosomal RNA", at positions 29 to 507 of the family's 1533-position model. The record is from RNAcentral.
AGUGAACGCUGGCGGCAGGCCUAACACAUGCAAGUCGAACGGCAGCACAGUAAGGGCUUGCUCUUACGGGUGACGAGUGGAGGACGGGUGAGGAAUACAUCGGAAUCUACUUUUUCGUGGGGGAUAACGUAGGGAAACUUACGCUAAUACCGCAUACGACCUACGGGUGAAAGCAGGGGAUCGUCGGACCUUGCGCGAUUGAAUGAGCCGAUGUCGGAUUAGCUAGUUGGCGGGGUAAAGGCCCACCAAGGCGACGAUCCGUAGCUGGUCUGAGAGGAUGAUCAGCCACACUGGAACUGAGACACGGUCCAGACUCCUACGGGAGGCAGCAGUGGGGAAUAUUGGACAAUGGGCGCAAGCCUGAUCCAGCCAUACCGCGUGGGUGAAGAAGGCCUUCGGGUUGUAAAGCCCUUUUGUUGGGAAAGAAAUCCAGCCGGCUAAUACCUGGUUGGGAUGACGGUACCCAAAGAAUAAGCACCGGCUAACUUCGUG